RNAcentral lists this ribosomal RNA (258 nucleotides) under Chilostoma subzonata. RNAcentral's name for it is "partial 16S ribosomal RNA". It matches the Rfam family "Archaeal large subunit ribosomal RNA", at positions 2021 to 2558 of the family's 2987-position model. The record is from RNAcentral. Lineage: Eukaryota; Metazoa; Mollusca; Gastropoda; Stylommatophora; Helicidae.
GACUGUGCAAAGGUAGCAUAAUCAGUUGGCUUAUAAUUGAAGUCUGGUAUGAAUGAACCCACGGGGGCCCACUGUCUUUAUGUUAAUAAGAUGAAUUUAGUAAGCAAGUGCAAAUACUUGAUAUUAUUAAAUAGACGAGAAGACCCUAGAAACUUUUAAUUAUGUUUUGCUGGGGCGGCAAAGUUACAAUUAACCAACUUAUUUGACACGAAGCUUAGAUGUUAGAUUAAGUUACUCUAGGGAUAACAGCAUAAUUAA